UACCAGAUAAGAGUGUCGUCCGCACGUCUGAUGUUCGUGUCUCAAACAGAGUGAACUAGUCUGAAAUGACAUUAAAAACUUUCCCCACGGUCUAUAAUGACCUUAUUGGAGAGAUCGAUGCGGCGACCGUGAAGUGGCUGGACAGAAAUCUCUAUAUUGGUGAUGAGAUUCGCGAGGUUUAUGAAGCGGUCAUCAAAACCGUUGGAAAGAGUCAUCUUCUGUUUG
Molecule: long non-coding RNA, 225 nt
Organism: Dendronephthya gigantea
Lineage: Eukaryota; Metazoa; Cnidaria; Anthozoa; Malacalcyonacea; Nephtheidae
Exons: 3
Source: RefSeq, a predicted model, not a curated record